Molecule: ribosomal RNA, 875 nt
Filed under: uncultured bacterium
Lineage: Bacteria
Description: bacterial SSU rRNA
Rfam family: Bacterial small subunit ribosomal RNA
Source: RNAcentral
GCAGUUGAGCGCUGAAGUUGGUACUUGUACCGACUGGAUGAGCAGCGAACGGGCCCAUAAAGCGUGGGGAAUCUGCCUUUGAGCGGGGGACAACAUUUGUAAACGAAUGCUAAUACCGCAUAAAAACUUUAAACACAAGUUUUAAGUUUGAAAGAUGCAAUUGCAUCACUCAAAGAUGAUCCCGCGUUGUAUUAGCUAGUUGGUGAGGUAAAGGCUCACCAAGGCGAUGAUACAUAGCCGACCUGAGAGGGUGAUCGGCCACAUUGGGACUGAGACACGGCCCAAACUCCUACGGGAGGCAGCAGUAGGGAAUCUUCGGCAAUGGACGAAAGUCUGACCGAGCAACGCCGCGUGAGUGAAGAAGGUUUUCGGAUCGUAAAACUCUGUUGGUAGAGAAGAACGUUGGUGAGAGUGGAAAGCUCAUCAAGUGACGGUAACUACCCAGAAAGGGACGGCUAACUACGUGCCAGCAGCCGCGGUAAUACGUAGGUCCCGAGCGUUGUCCGGAUUUAUUGGGCGUAAAGCGAGCGCAGGUGGUUUAUUAAGUCUGGUGUAAAAGGCAGUGGCUCAACCAUUGUAUGCAUUGGAAACUGGUAGACUUGAGUGCAGGAGGGGAGAGUGGAAUUCCAUGUGUAGCGGUGAAAUGCGUAGAUAUAUGGAGGAACACCGGUGGCGAAAGCGGCUCUCUGGCCUGUAACUGACACUGAGGCUCGAAAGCGUGGGGAGCAAACAGGAUUAGAUACCCUGGUAGUCCACGCCGUAAACGAUGAGUGCUAGAUGUAGGGAGCUAUAAGUUCUCUGUAUCGCAGCUAACGCAAUAAGCACUCCGCCUGGGGAGUACGACCGCAAGGUUGAAACUCAAAGGAAUUGACGGG